AUAAACGCUGGCGGCGUGCCUUACGCAUGCAAGUCGAACGAGGUUACAGACUUCGGUCUGUAGCCGAGUGGCGAACGGGUGAGUAACGCGUAAGCGACCUGCCCAGAAGUGGGGGAUACCCAGCCGAAAGGCUGGCUAAUACCGCAUGAGCUCAUCGAUUCAGUUCGAUGAGGAAAGCCGAAAGGCGCUUUUGGAGGGGCUUGCGUCCGAUUAGCUAGUUGGUGGGGUAAUGGCCCACCAAGGCGACUAUCGGUAGCUGGUCUGAGAGGACGGCCAGCCACACUGGGACUGAGAUACGGCCCAGACUCCUACGGGAGGCAGCAGCGAGGAAUUUUGCGCAAUGGGCGAAAGCCUGACGCAGCAACGCCGCGUGGGGGAAGAAGGCCUUCGGGUCGUAAACCUCUUUUGCGAGGGAAGAAGUAUGACGGUACCUCGCGAAUAAGCCACGGCUAACUACGU
Molecule: ribosomal RNA, 459 nt
Filed under: uncultured bacterium
Lineage: Bacteria
Description: bacterial SSU rRNA
Rfam family: Bacterial small subunit ribosomal RNA
Source: RNAcentral